UACGGAGGGUGCAAACGUUGCUCGGAAUCAUUGGGCGUAAAGCGCACGUAGGCGGUCUGUUAAGUCGGAUGUGAAAGCCCCGGGCUCAACCCGGGAAGUGCAUACGAAACUGGCGGACUUGAAUAUGGAAGAGGGUCGCGGAAUUCCCGGUGUAGAGGUGAAAUUCGUAGAUAUCGGGAGGAACACCAGUGGCGAAGGCGGCGACCUGGGCCAACACUGACACUGAGGCACGAAAGCGUGGGGAGCAAACAGG
This 253-nucleotide ribosomal RNA is filed under the name uncultured bacterium. RNAcentral describes it as "partial 16S ribosomal RNA". It matches the Rfam family "Bacterial small subunit ribosomal RNA", at positions 524 to 776 of the family's 1533-position model. The record is from RNAcentral.